AACAUACAAAUAAAUAAAUUAAUUAAUUAAUAAAUAAGGCUGAGCAUGCAUAGACAAAUCCACAGAGUCAUUUUGACCCUUUGAAAUAUUCACACUUUCCACAGAGUCAUUUUGACCCUUUGAAAUGUUCACGCUUUCCUACAGCUAAUCAUUGGUAAAGACUUCUUUAUUUUUUUAAUUUAUUAUAUUUUUAGUAAAGACUUCUUUAAAUGGCAUAUUAAGAAAGAUAUAAACAUGAGAAAAUUAUUUGUGUUCUAAUUUGUUAACCUUUCUGUCUCCCUCUGCUCCCAAUUCCUAUGUACACCACCGAGCAUUCAGUUGCAUUCGAUACUCCAGGCAUCAAGAGCCUAUUGCAAGCACCAGGCAGCAGAGGAACAUCUGCCACUAUUUAUCUUACUCAAAGUUGAAGAGUAAAUGUAGAUGCAGACCCAAAAACUUAAAAUGGAGAAAGGUUACAAGCUCAUCAAAAGUUUAGGCCUUGCUCCUAUUAUGUCUUUCUUACCUUUUGGAGAAGGAAAAUGGAUGCAACAAUACUCACCAGAACACAAACUUUGAAGCUCUAUUCAAAGCUACAGUAAAGUAACCCAGAAAGCCAUGUUUCUGAAAGAACGGGUCAGCUCUGAUUGUGCACUGGGAAUUCUAUUGGCACCACCGUUUAGCAAGGACCUGAGAAUGUAUCAGUGAAGGACCAAAAAAAUGAAGGGCUAAAGAUUACAAACUGAACUUCUUAAAAUAAGGCAGCUCUAUGCUUUCUGUGAAUCAACUAAGAAGCACGUGAACAGUUUUAUGGAUGACCUGUUUAAGGGGCCAAGAUGGUAGACCACAUGUAAUGUUUAGAAAUCCCCAUUUGGAUAAAACGUUGGAAAUCAUCUGGUCGCUGGGCUUCAAGCUGUGUUCCAGGGCAAUACCUGAAGCAACCCAAGAGAGGUAACAGGAAGGGGGGCCAAAGAGGUUCUGACUGAGCUCCUUUCCCUUGCCAGUAGGAGAUGCUUUGCUUUUCACUGUUUUAUACCUUGCAGUACCAAGAAAAGACUGUAAUUCUAAAAUGCUGUUACUGAAAAAAAAAAGUCAGAAAAAUGAAAUUUGGCUCAUUCCCCCACAUUUUUAUAUAAGGAAAUGGAGAC
This 1124-nucleotide long non-coding RNA is filed under the name Canis lupus familiaris (dog). RNAcentral describes it as "lncRNA (ENSCAFG00030014363.1)". The record is from RNAcentral. Lineage: Eukaryota; Metazoa; Chordata; Mammalia; Carnivora; Canidae.